This is a non-coding RNA of Eptesicus fuscus (big brown bat), 82 nucleotides long. The record is from RefSeq and is marked provisional. Lineage: Eukaryota; Metazoa; Chordata; Mammalia; Chiroptera; Vespertilionidae.
ACUGGAUCGUCUCGGGAUCUCAGGGGUGCGGGGCUUUGGGGCGUCGCCUGGUCAGUGUCUGUGGACUGAGUGAACCACAGCG